Molecule: ribosomal RNA, 253 nt
Filed under: uncultured bacterium
Lineage: Bacteria
Description: partial 16S ribosomal RNA
Rfam family: Bacterial small subunit ribosomal RNA
Source: RNAcentral
UACGUAGGGUGCAAGCGUUGUCCGGAAUUAUUGGGCGUAAAGAGCUCGUAGGCGGUUUGUCGCGUCUGCUGUGAAAACUCAGGGCUUAACUCUGAGCUUGCAGUGGGUACGGGCAGACUAGAGUGUGGUAGGGGAGACUGGAAUUCCUGGUGUAGCGGUGAAAUGCGCAGAUAUCAGGAGGAACACCGAUGGCGAAGGCAGGUCUCUGGGCCAUAACUGACGCUGAGAAGCGAAAGCAUGGGGAGCGAACAGG